UCCCUGGUGGCUCAGAGGGUAAAGUACCUGCCUGCAAUGUGGGAGACCUGGGUUCGAUCCCUGGGUUGGGAA
Molecule: transfer RNA, 72 nt
Organism: Ovis aries (sheep)
Lineage: Eukaryota; Metazoa; Chordata; Mammalia; Artiodactyla; Bovidae
Rfam family: tRNA
About the family: Transfer RNA (tRNA) molecules are approximately 80 nucleotides in length. Their secondary structure includes four short double-helical elements and three loops (D, anti-codon, and T loops). Further hydrogen bonds mediate the characteristic L-shaped molecular structure. tRNAs have two regions of fundamental functional importance: the anti-codon, which is responsible for specific mRNA codon recognition, and the 3' end, to which the tRNAs corresponding amino acid is attached (by aminoacyl-tRNA synthetases). tRNAs cope with the degeneracy of the genetic code in two manners: having more than one tRNA (with a specific anti-codon) for a particular amino acid; and 'wobble' base-pairing, i.e. permitting non-standard base-pairing at the 3rd anti-codon position.
Source: Rfam